GCCAGGGUGGCAGAAUCCGGUUAACGCGCCGGUCUUGAAAACCGGUGCCCGCAAGGGCUUUUGGGUUCAAAUCCCAACCCUGGCG
This 85-nucleotide transfer RNA is filed under the name Microcaldota archaeon. Its description in RNAcentral is "tRNA-Ser". It matches the Rfam family "tRNA". From Rfam's summary of the family: Transfer RNA (tRNA) molecules are approximately 80 nucleotides in length. Their secondary structure includes four short double-helical elements and three loops (D, anti-codon, and T loops). The record is from RNAcentral. Lineage: Archaea; Nanobdellati; Microcaldota.